This 631-nucleotide ribosomal RNA is filed under the name uncultured Actinomycetes bacterium. Its description in RNAcentral is "bacterial SSU rRNA". It matches the Rfam family "Bacterial small subunit ribosomal RNA", at positions 40 to 687 of the family's 1533-position model. The record is from RNAcentral. Lineage: Bacteria; Bacillati; Actinomycetota; Actinomycetes.
CCAUGCGGGUCUUACCAUGCAAGUCGACGAUGAACCACUUCGGUGGGGAUUAGUGGCGAACGGGUGAGUAACACGUGGGCAAUCUGCCCUGCACUCUGGGACAAGCCCUGGAAACGGGGUCUAAUACCGGAUACUGAUCCUCGCAGGCAUCUGCGAGGUUCGAAAGCUCCGGCGGUGCAGGAUGAGCCCGCGGCCUAUCAGCUAGUUGGUGAGGUAACGGCUCACCAAGGCGACGACGGGUAGCCGGCCUGAGAGGGCGACCGGCCACACUGGGACUGAGACACGGCCCAGACUCCUACGGGAGGCAGCAGUGGGGAAUAUUGCACAAUGGGCGAAAGCCUGAUGCAGCGACGCCGCGUGAGGGAUGACGGCCUUCGGGUUGUAAACCUCUUUCAGCAGGGAAGAAGCGAAAGUGACGGUACCUGCAGAAGAAGCGCCGGCUAACUACGUGCCAGCAGCCGCGGUAAUACGUAGGGCGCAAGCGUUGUCCGGAAUUAUUGGGCGUAAAGAGCUCGUAUGCGGCUUGUCACGUCGGUUGUGAUAGCCCGGGGCUUAACCCCGGGUCUGCAGUCGAUACAGGCAGGCUAAAGUUCGGUAGGGGAGAUCGGAAUUCCUGGUGAGGGGGGGUGAU